GCAUCGGUGGUUCAGUGGUAGAACGCUCGCCAGUUACGCAUGUGAUUCGGGUUUCGAUCCCCGGCCGAAGCA
RNAcentral lists this transfer RNA (72 nucleotides) under Trichobilharzia regenti. It matches the Rfam family "tRNA". From Rfam's summary of the family: Transfer RNA (tRNA) molecules are approximately 80 nucleotides in length. The record is from Rfam by way of RNAcentral. Lineage: Eukaryota; Metazoa; Platyhelminthes; Trematoda; Strigeidida; Schistosomatidae.